UCAGAUUUGCUAUGGCGGCGGGUGUGAAAGUUCAGUACGUACGUCUAGAGUACCUAUAUACAGAGAGUAUGGCCACUGGGUCCCAUGGAGAGGCUUAGGACCCAAAAAUGGCGGUGCUUUGUUUUGGUUUUUGUGGAUGGGAGGGGGGUCAUUGCCAACUUUUGACGGUUAUCACCAACCGCACUCGCUGCCAACCUUACUGCAUCUAAGAUAAUUUUUUCUCGAAAAUUGCGCACGAUUAGCCUUAAAAAUAUGUAACGAGGUCGCAAUAGUGCAUUUGGGUAAAUUUCUCGUCACGAUAAGCAAAGAAUGAUGAUAUUUUGAGUCAUUGUGCAUUACAUUAAUUUAUGGCGUCCGCCAUUUUUGGGUCCUAAGGGCUCCAUGGAGCCUAAGAUGGCUGAGCCAAUCAGAGGUGGUAACUCCAGUGGCCAUACUCUCUGUAUAUAGGUACUCUACGUACGUCAUCGCGCAAAAGAACCCCCAAUAUUUUUGUUGUGAUUGAUAAUCACAGAUCAUUUCUGUAGUAUUUAUCGACUUUUCUCUUGCUUUUCUCAGUUUGUCGCCUACAGAUUCGCUUCUCCCUCUCUUGCCUCUUUAUAUUUCUUCAAAAGUGAAAGCCCAUCAGUUUUCUUGCUGCAUGUAUAUUAUACUUUUCGACCUAUUGACCAGCUUUCAUCAUUCAAGUUCAUUGCAAAUGUACAUAUCUCAAACAUUUCGCCUGAAAAUUUCUGCUGAGCAUGCACUUUGAAUCGAUACCAUGAGCAUUCGAAGGAGGAAAAUUGCAUUACCAAAUCCGGAGGAGCCUUCCAAUGGUAGCAUAAAGAAAGAAAAUGACGGUGGAAACCCCACUUCAUUUUUGCAGGAAAGUAUCGAUCCUUCAGAUAUGCCAGCUGGAAAUUUUCUCAAGUUAGAAUGGAACGCACAGAAUUCUCCUGUCGAAUCAGGUUCUGUUAUUCUCCAUGAAUCCGUCGAACUUGAUACAAGGUUACAGGAGGAAGCACAACUGCAAACACAAACUCAAGAGGUGAUCAUUGUGACAGGUGAAAAAGAUGGAGUGCCUGAAGAUGAUGACAACAACUUAUAUAUGAAUUACUCGAUGCUGACAGACCAGCUCAUUUCCGGGCAUUUCCUCACUGGCGCUACUGCAGAAGAAGUUUUCAAUGGCGAGCCGUCACGGUCAAAAGGAGUGAUCUCUGACAUCCUAUGCGAUAAAUUCAAGUGCCAUCAUUGUAAUCUAAGCUUCCUGUCCCACCAGUUCUACAAA
RNAcentral lists this long non-coding RNA (1264 nucleotides) under Bemisia tabaci. Its description in RNAcentral is "lncRNA ENSASIAIIG011557". Lineage: Eukaryota; Metazoa; Arthropoda; Insecta; Hemiptera; Aleyrodidae. The record is from RNAcentral.